AAGGGCACCACAAGAACGCGUGGAGCAUGUGGCUUAAUUUGACUCAACGCGGGAAAUCUUACCGGGUCCGGAUGCACUGAGGAUUGACAGACAGGCCAUAGAACAGCUGUAUGUAUACAAUUGUUAUUAUUUGAAUAAUACAAUUAGGAGCGCCGCUUCUGCGUCGUGUGUAAACUGUUCUAAGGCUUCAUACACAGGCACUAUCUCUCAUGAUUAUGUUGCAGGUGGUGCAUGGCCGUUGUUAGUUCGUGGAGUAAUCUGUCUGCUUAAUUGCGUUUCGUACAAGUACUCACUCAAUCCUGGACGUAUCUCAAUUAUAUGUGGCGGUGUCUGUCAUGGAAAGCAGCCUACGUUGUUUCAUACGUGCAGCUGUGUCGCCUCUGAGUUAUUGUCAUUUGGAGAGUACGUGAAUGCAACGAACGUGACCGUAGUGUUUUAGUUUGCAUUUCAAACAAGUGACAUUCAUUUGACACGGUUUGUAUUCCGGCUACGUAUCAUCCCAGUGCAUAACCAUAACCAUUGCAACUAUACAUACCACUGCUUUCUUUUCUCUAACCAGGGGAAGGUUGCGGCAAUAACAGGUCUGUGAUGCCCUCAGAUGUUCCGGGCUGCACACGUGCUACAAUGAUGAGCAUAGUGUGUGCCUUUGUUGUGUCCUUGAAUGAAUAAUUUUCAUUAAGCGAAUAUCGAAUAAAAGGAACGUUUGACGAGAGUUACACGAAAGCCUUUAUUAAAUUUCUUAUUCCAGUGAACUUGAACGAUUCGAUCUUUGAUGAUUGAGUCUUUGAUAGUUGUUGGUACACAUCUUGUGACAUUGCUUCCCUAUCGCUAUCCUAUGCUGUAGUGCGUUUGCAAUGCUGAUGUUUUAAACGCCCCUCAUGUCUCGAGCGUUCCUCGAUCCAUUGUGCAAGUCAGGCGAUCAGGUUUCGCAUGUACCAUUGUUAACUCCGGGUAGGGACAGACCUUUGAAACUCUCGGUCUCGGUCUCAACCAGGAAUGCCUCGUACGGAUUCGGUUAAACAUACCAUCCGGAAUAUGUCCCUGCCCUUUGUACACACCGCCCGUCGCUCUUACCGAUUGUCUGUGUUGUGAGUAUUAGCGAUAGAUCUUAUCUAAACCUUCUACGAACAAUGUGGCUAAGAGGAAAGAGAAGUCGUAACAAGGCAUCAGUAGGUGAACCUGCUGAGGAUCA
Molecule: ribosomal RNA, 1192 nt
Filed under: Globorotalia menardii
Lineage: Eukaryota; Foraminifera; Rotaliida; Globorotaliidae
Description: bacterial SSU rRNA
Rfam family: Eukaryotic small subunit ribosomal RNA
Source: RNAcentral